This 114-nucleotide ribosomal RNA is filed under the name uncultured bacterium. Its description in RNAcentral is "partial 16S ribosomal RNA". It matches the Rfam family "Bacterial small subunit ribosomal RNA", at positions 355 to 464 of the family's 1533-position model. The record is from RNAcentral.
UGAGGAAUAUUGGUCAAUGGGCGGGGAGGCCUGAACCAAGCCAAGCCGCGUGAGGGAGGAAGGCCCUACGGGUCGUAAACCUCUUUUGCCGGGGAACAAAAGCGGGUAUGUAUA